GAAAUGCGAUAAUUAAUGUGAAUUGCAGAAUUCAGUGAAUCAUCGAGUCUUUGAACGCACAUUGCGCCUCCUGGUAUUCCGGGGGGCAUGCCUGUCCGAGCGUCAUUGCUGCCCUCAAGCACGGCUUGUGUGUUGGGCUUCCGUCCCUGGCAACGGGGACGGGCCCAAAAGGCAGUGGCGGCACCAUGUCUGGUCCUCGAGCGUAUGGGGCUUUGUCACCCGCUCCCGUAGGUCCAGCUGGCAGCUAGCCUCGCAACCAAUCUUUUUAACCAGGUUGACCUCGGAUCAGGUAGGGAUACCCGCUGAACUUAAGA
Molecule: unclassified non-coding RNA, 314 nt
Filed under: plant metagenome
Description: partial contains 5.8S ribosomal RNA, internal transcribed spacer 2, and large subunit ribosomal RNA
Rfam family: 5.8S ribosomal RNA (bases 1-105)
Source: RNAcentral